CGGGUGAGUAACACGUGGAUAACCUACCUAUAAGACUGGGAUAACUUCGGGAAACCGGAGCUAAUACCGGAUAAUAUUUUGAACCGCAUGGUUCAAAAGUGAAAGACGGUCUUGCUGUCACUUAUAGAUGGAUCCGCGCUGCAUUAGCUAGUUGGUAAGGUAGCGGCUUACCAAGGCAACGAUGCAUAGCCGACCUGAGAGGGUGAUCGGCCACACUGGAACUGAGACACGGUCCAG
RNAcentral lists this ribosomal RNA (237 nucleotides) under uncultured Staphylococcus sp. RNAcentral's name for it is "partial 16S ribosomal RNA". It matches the Rfam family "Bacterial small subunit ribosomal RNA", at positions 103 to 334 of the family's 1533-position model. Lineage: Bacteria; Bacillati; Bacillota; Bacilli; Caryophanales; Staphylococcaceae. The record is from RNAcentral.